Molecule: long non-coding RNA, 885 nt
Filed under: Rattus norvegicus (Norway rat)
Lineage: Eukaryota; Metazoa; Chordata; Mammalia; Rodentia; Muridae
Description: long non-coding RNA NONRATT003466
Source: RNAcentral
AGUAACACGUGUUUGUGAUUGAAGCCAAGUCCCUUUGCUGUGCUGCUUUAGGUAAAUGUUUUUGUUCAUUUCUGGUGAGGGGGGGUUGGGAGCACUGAAGCCUUUAGUCUCUUCCAGAUUCAACCUAAAAUCUGACAAGAAAUAAAUUCAGACAAGCAACAUUCUUGAAGAAAUUUAACUGGCAAGUGGAAAUGUUCUUAACAGUUCCGUGGUCUUUAGUGCAUUGUCUCUGUAGGUGUCUCUCUCCCCUCCCUUGGUCUUAAUUCUUACAUGCAGGAACAUUGAAAACAGCAGACAUCUAUUCGAGGGCCCAGAGAAGCCAGACCCAGUAAGGAAAAAUAGCCUAUUUACUUUAAAUCGAUAAAAGUGAACCAGACAUUCCAUUAUCAAUGUGGGGAUUGGGAAGCCCUAGUUCUUUCAGAUGUACUUCAAACUAGAAGGAGCUUCCAGUUGAAUUCACCAGUGGACAAAUGAUGACAACAGGUGAACAAGCCUUUUCUUGUUUAAGAUUAGUUACUGGUAAAUUAGUGUUGAAUUCUCUUCAGCUUCAUGCUGAAGCAGCUAGCAUGUAAUGUUUUGUUGGCCUUGGGGUGGAGGGGUGAGGUGGGCGCUAAGCCUUUUUUUAAGAUUUUCCAGGUACCCCUCACUAAAGGCACUGAAGGCUUAAUGUAGCACAGCGGAGCCUUCCUGUGGCAAGAGUCAAGCAAGCAAAGUGGUAUCAUGGUUGGUUUUGAUUAGCAGUGAGGACUACCCUACCUCAACACCUUGCUGGAGUUGAAAGAAACAUUCAAAGAAAAUACUUGAGAGGCCCUGGGCUUGUUUUAACAUCUGGAAAAGCUGUUUUUAUAGCAGCUGUUAGCAGCCCAAACCUCAAGUUGUGCUUGA